CCUACGGGAGGCAGCAGUGAGGAAUAUUGGUCAAUGGGCGCUAGCCUGAACCAGCCAAGCAGCGUGAAGGAUGACUGCCCUCUGGGUUGUAACCUUCUUUUAUAUGGGCAUAACGUGCAGUAUUUAUACUGCUUUGCAUGUACCUUAUGACUAAGGCUCGGCUAACUCCGUGCCAGCAGCCGCGGUAAUACGGAGGCUACGCGCGUUAUCCGGAUUUAUUGGGUUUAAAGGGAGCGUAGGCGGGGUGUUAAGUCAGUUGUGAAAGUUAGCGGCUCAACCGUAAAAUUGCAGUUGAUACUGGCAUCCUUGAGUACAGGAGAGGUAGGCGGAAUUCGUGGUGUAGCGGUGAAAUGCUUAGAUAUCACGAAGAACUCCGAUGGCGAAGGCAGCCUGCUGGACUGUAACUGACGCUGAUGCUCGAAAGUGUGGGUAUCAAACAGGAUUAGAUACCCCAGUAGUC
This 460-nucleotide ribosomal RNA is filed under the name uncultured bacterium. RNAcentral describes it as "partial 16S ribosomal RNA". It matches the Rfam family "Bacterial small subunit ribosomal RNA", at positions 338 to 795 of the family's 1533-position model. The record is from RNAcentral.